Vicia faba (fava bean) is the source of this 279-nucleotide non-coding RNA. The record is from the annotation of a GenBank genome assembly. NCBI's taxonomy places the organism in Eukaryota, Viridiplantae, Streptophyta, Magnoliopsida, Fabales, Fabaceae.
AUGGUGGCCACCUUAUUCCAACCCAGAUCAACCCAAAAUCAAAACAACAACAACAACAAAAAUAAGCUAAGUUCUUGGGUGUUACCUCUCUUUGCUAUGAACUUUGAGUCUUUGUUCUGGUUUCCUCGUUUAUCUCUUUCUGGGCUCAUUUUCCUUUCUGAUUCGCAGGUACAGUGGCUUGGUGGCGCAAGAGUCAACAUAUCUAGGGUUUUAGAAUUGAAACCCAUAUCUCAAGUAGAAGAGGCGUUGAUUUGGAAGUUCAAGCCACAAAUUUUAUAG